Molecule: non-coding RNA, 580 nt
Filed under: Pongo abelii (Sumatran orangutan)
Lineage: Eukaryota; Metazoa; Chordata; Mammalia; Primates; Hominidae
Source: RNAcentral
AAGCUAAUGAAGAGCCGUUUACUCCAGAGGAAACAUCCAGCAUUUCAACUGGCCACUGAGUUACUAAGUAUCAACCGAACAAGGUAGUUUUAAAAGGAAGGGAAAUAUUGCGACACGAAUGAAGGAACAGAUUAACUUGCUCCUCGGAUCUGGGCACACGGCUCCUCCUACUUCUUCUUCCUCUUUUCCUGGACACACCGUGGACAGAACCUGUGACAAGAAAGGCGCAAUGAGGCCCUGGGCACCAUUUCCACCAGCGCGCAGGGUGCCCAGGGCCCGCCUCCCCACGUCUCCCAGGGCUGCUGGACACCGGCAGGAGGGCACCAGGAGAGGCACACGCAGGGGGGCCGCGGCCCUCCCGCGGGGAAAACGCGCCGAUGUGCGUGCGGCUCUAUGCAGGACGCCAGUUCUGAAGUUGACAGAUACACAUCAAUGAGCAAAACCGAUUUGACACCCAGGCGUUCCUCCUUAACAGGUGGGUCCUUCUUCCCCGGCCGAUGGCAUGGUCGCUGGUGCCCUCUGUCUGGAGUCUGUGGGGGCUGCAGGUACCAAGCACGUGUGAGCAUGGCAGCCCCUCAGG